CACGUAGGGGGCGAGCGUUGUCCGGAUUUAUUGGGCGUAAAGAGCUCGUAGGUGGUUCGAUAAGUCGGGUGUGAAACCUCCAGGCUCAACCUGGAGACGCCACCCGAUACUGUCGUGACUAGAGUCCAGUAGGGGAGCGUGGAAUUCCUGGUGUAGCGGUGAAAUGCGCAGAUAUCAGGAGGAACACCAGCGGCGAAGGCGGCGCUCUGGGCUGGCACUGACACUGAGGAGCGAAAGCGUGGGGAGCGAACAG
This 253-nucleotide ribosomal RNA is filed under the name uncultured bacterium. Its description in RNAcentral is "partial 16S ribosomal RNA". It matches the Rfam family "Bacterial small subunit ribosomal RNA", at positions 524 to 775 of the family's 1533-position model. The record is from RNAcentral.